ACAGAAUAUAAGUCUGUGAUAUAAAUAAUGGGGCACAGAAACUGGUCACGAAAUGGCACCGUUUAACGACGACGACAGGAUGUAGAUCAACGGAGGUGAUUUAAAACUGACUCCCAGAUAAAAUUCAAGAAUUAACAUCGUUGAUCAGCAACAUAAAGUGACUUAUUGUUUCAUUUCCCUCUUUAUCGGUUUUUUCGGCAUAUGCCAGGUAAAAAUGUUUCAUUUUACACGUCAAUAUCUCGGCUUUAGCUGACCGAUUUUAUGCGCUCUGCAACAUUUUUGUUGUUUGAUCCGAUAUACAUAAUGUAUUAAUAUGAUCUUUAACUUCAUAAUUCAGUGUCGUAUUGAGGCGUAUAUGGUCGUUGGUGGGGAAAUUAUAUGUGAUGUUAUCCUUAUGGCUGCGAGGUCUGUAGCCAAUCGCCCAAUCGAUUUAUGUGUUGGUAUAUCUCAAAAAGAAUACAGCAAUAUGUCAUUUGUCAAUUUAUGCGUUGGUGGAGUGGUGAAGUAAAGCUACUGGGUUAAAUGUAGCAACCAAGAUAGCUUAAUCGCAUGUUUAUAAAGGUCCAGAUAAAAUAUAGAGAAAGAAAAAAAGCAUCCGCCGGAAAGUCCCAAAGGAGAAAGAGAAAUGCACGGCCAGAGCAGUAUUCGAACCCGGGACCAUCCGAACCCUAUAGAGACGCUCUACUAACUGAACUACAUGGACGCGGACGAUCGACCUAGUCCCAUGGCAAUACUGGACUAUCGAACAAAGAAGGAAAGACAGAAGGAACACCUAAGAUUAAAGUUUAUCUAGAUUUCCUUUAUGAAGUGAAAGAUGUGAUUGAUAGCCUCCACAAACCACUGGAAAUUCUUUUAAGUAACAUAACCGGAAAAAGUGUGGAGAUCGUAAGAGGUGGUCCUGAUGAAUGUCAACUAAAAUUGACUGGAUUAUUCGCUCCAGAAAGGCCAGCAGACUAUACUGAAGAUGUUAAAAAAAAAGCCGCAGGACGUACCAUAUUGAUACUGUGUAAAGAAGACUUCGAUUGGAAACUAGACAAUGCUCUCUUCAUCCGUUAUACAAAAAACUAUAGCAAAUGUGAGCUCAUGUCUACAAAGACAGUAGAAAACAAAGAAGCCUUACAGGCUUUGAUGAAAAUAUAAAAACAUUGUGUGCUUGACAGUGGUUUAAAUUUCCGAUUUACACACUAUCUGUCACUCUGUCAAUCGUUGCUGGCAUUUGACUUUAAUAAACAGACUUUAAUAAUCA
Molecule: RNA transcript, 1246 nt
Organism: Mizuhopecten yessoensis (Yesso scallop)
Lineage: Eukaryota; Metazoa; Mollusca; Bivalvia; Pectinida; Pectinidae
Exons: 6
Source: RefSeq, a predicted model, not a curated record